RNAcentral lists this ribosomal RNA (524 nucleotides) under uncultured bacterium. RNAcentral's name for it is "partial 16S ribosomal RNA". It matches the Rfam family "Bacterial small subunit ribosomal RNA", at positions 28 to 523 of the family's 1533-position model. The record is from RNAcentral.
GACGAACGCUGGCGGCGUGCCUAAUACAUGCAAGUCGAGCGCAGGAAGCCGUCUGAACCCUUCGGGGGGACGACGGUGGAAUGAGCGGCGGACGGGUGAGUAACACGUAAAGAACCUGCCCAUAGGUCUGGGAUAACCACGAGAAAUCGGGGCUAAUACCGGAUGUGUCAUCGGACCGCAUGGUCCGAUGAUGAAAGGCGCUCCGGCGUCGCCCAUGGAUGGCUUUGCGGUGCAUUAGCUAGUUGGUGAGGUAACGGCCCACCAAGGCGACGAUGCAUAGCCGACCUGAGAGGGUGAUCGGCCACACUGGGACUGAGACACGGCCCAGACUCCUACGGGAGGCAGUAGUAGGGAAUCUUCCACAAUGGACGAAAGUCUGAUGGAGCAACGCCGCGUGAACGAUGAAGGCUUUCGGGUCGUAAAGUUCUGUUGUAAGGGAAGAACAAGUGCCGCAGGCAAUGGCGGCACCUUGACGGUACCUUGCGAGAAAGCCACGGCUAACUACGUGCCAGCAGCCGCGGUAA